UCGCCUGUUUAUCAAAAACAUGUCCUCUAGAUGAUAAUUUGAGGUCUGACCUGCCCACUGAAUAUAAGAUUUGAAGGGCCGCGGUAUUUUGACCGUGCAAAGGUAGCAUAAUCAUUAGUCUUUUAAUUGAAGGCUAGAAUGAAUGGUUGGACGAGGUAUUGACUGUCUCAGUAUAAUUGAAAUUAGAAUUUAACGUUUAAGUCAAAAGGCUUAAAUAUAUUUAAAGGACGAGAAGACCCUAUAGAGCUUGAUAUUUAAAAGUUAUUAUUUAUUUAGUUGUAUUUUUAUAAUAGUUUAAUAAGUAUUUUGUUGGGGUGACAGGAAGAUAUAAUAAACUCUUUUUAUUUUAUUACAUUGAUAUAUGAAUUGUUGAUCCAUUAUUAGUGAUUAUAAGACUAAGUUACCUUAGGGAUAACAGCGUAAUCUUUUUCGAGAGUUCUUAUCGACAAAAAGGGUUGCGACCUCGAUGUUGGAUUAAGGGUAAUUUUGGGUGUAGAUGUUCAAAGUUUAGGUCUGUUCGACCUUUAAAUCCUUACAUGAUCUGAGUUCAAACCGGAGA
RNAcentral lists this ribosomal RNA (559 nucleotides) under Pteronarcys californica. Its description in RNAcentral is "partial 16S ribosomal RNA". It matches the Rfam family "Bacterial large subunit ribosomal RNA", at positions 1796 to 2622 of the family's 2925-position model. The record is from RNAcentral. Lineage: Eukaryota; Metazoa; Arthropoda; Insecta; Plecoptera; Pteronarcyidae.